RNAcentral lists this unclassified non-coding RNA (585 nucleotides) under Aureobasidium melanogenum. RNAcentral describes it as "sequence contains 18S rRNA gene, ITS1, 5.8S rRNA gene, ITS2, 28S rRNA gene". The stretch from base 222 to 375 matches the Rfam family "5.8S ribosomal RNA". Lineage: Eukaryota; Fungi; Ascomycota; Dothideomycetes; Dothideales; Saccotheciaceae. The record is from RNAcentral.
GUAACAAGGUUUCCGUAGGUGAACCUGCGGAAGGAUCAUUAAAGAGUAAGGGUGCUCAGCGCCCGACCUCCAACCCUUUGUUGUUAAAACUACCUUGUUGCUUUGGCGGGACCGCUCGGUCUCGAGCCGCUGGGGAUUCGUCCCAGGCGAGCGCCCGCCAGAGUUAAACCAAACUCUUGUUAUUUAACCGGUCGUCUGAGUUAAAAUUUUGAAUAAAUCAAAACUUUCAACAACGGAUCUCUUGGUUCUCGCAUCGAUGAAGAACGCAGCGAAAUGCGAUAAGUAAUGUGAAUUGCAGAAUUCAGUGAAUCAUCGAAUCUUUGAACGCACAUUGCGCCCCUUGGUAUUCCGAGGGGCAUGCCUGUUCGAGCGUCAUUACACCACUCAAGCUAUGCUUGGUAUUGGGUGCCGUCCUUAGUUGGGCGCGCCUUAAAGACCUCGGCGAGGCCUCACCGGCUUUAGGCGUAGUAGAAUUUAUUCGAACGUCUGUCAAAGGAGAGGACUUCUGCCGACUGAAACCUUUUAUUUUUCUAGGUUGACCUCGGAUCAGGUAGGGAUACCCGCUGAACUUAAGCAUAUCAAUAA